GACACUUUGGCCGAGUGGUUAAGGCGCAGGCCUGCUAUACCGGUUUCACUGUAUUAGCUUUCAGCCUGUGGGUUCGCCCUCCUGGGUUCGAAUCCCAGAGGUGUCG
Molecule: transfer RNA, 106 nt
Filed under: Aspergillus piperis CBS 112811
Lineage: Eukaryota; Fungi; Ascomycota; Eurotiomycetes; Eurotiales; Aspergillaceae
Description: tRNA-Ser
Rfam family: tRNA
About the family: Transfer RNA (tRNA) molecules are approximately 80 nucleotides in length. Their secondary structure includes four short double-helical elements and three loops (D, anti-codon, and T loops). Further hydrogen bonds mediate the characteristic L-shaped molecular structure. tRNAs have two regions of fundamental functional importance: the anti-codon, which is responsible for specific mRNA codon recognition, and the 3' end, to which the tRNAs corresponding amino acid is attached (by aminoacyl-tRNA synthetases). tRNAs cope with the degeneracy of the genetic code in two manners: having more than one tRNA (with a specific anti-codon) for a particular amino acid; and 'wobble' base-pairing, i.e. permitting non-standard base-pairing at the 3rd anti-codon position.
Source: RNAcentral